AUGAACGCUGGCGGCGUGCUUAACACAUGCAAGUCGAACGGUGAAGCCCAGCUUGCUGGGUGGAUCAGUGGCGAACGGGUGAGUAACACGUGAGCAACCUGCCCCUGACUCUGGGAUAAGCGCUGGAAACGGCGUCUAAUACUGGAUAUGUGACGUGACCGCAUGGUCUGCGUCUGGAAAGAAUUUCGGUUGGGGAUGGGCUCGCGGCCUAUCAGCUUGUUGGUGAGGUAAUGGCUCACCAAGGCGUCGACGGGUAGCCGGCCUGAGAGGGUGACCGGCCACACUGGGACUGAGACACGGCCCAGACUCCUACGGGAGGCAGCAGUGGGGAAUAUUGCACAAUGGGCGCAAGCCUGAUGCAGCAACGCCGCGUGAGGGAUGACGGCCUUCGGGUUGUAAACCUCUUUUAGCAGGGAAGAAGCGAAAGUGACGGUACCUGCAGAAAAAGCGCCGGCUAACUACGU
Molecule: ribosomal RNA, 464 nt
Filed under: uncultured bacterium
Lineage: Bacteria
Description: bacterial SSU rRNA
Rfam family: Bacterial small subunit ribosomal RNA
Source: RNAcentral